Molecule: ribosomal RNA, 254 nt
Filed under: uncultured bacterium
Lineage: Bacteria
Description: partial 16S ribosomal RNA
Rfam family: Bacterial small subunit ribosomal RNA
Source: RNAcentral
UACGAAGGGGGGCUAGCGUUGUUCGGAAUUACUGGGCGUAAAGGGCUCGUAGGCGGCCAACUAAGUCAGACGUGAAAUCCCUCGGCUUAACCGGGGAACUGCGUCUGAUACUGGUUGGCUUGAGUGUGGGAGAGGGAUGCGGAAUUCCAGGUGUAGCGGUGAAAUGCGUAGAUAUCUGGAGGAACACCGGUGGCGAAGGCGGCAUCCUGGACCAUUACUGACGCUGAGGAGCGAAAGCCAGGGGAGCAAACGGG